GGGGAUACACUUAGAACCCCAGGAGCGGCGUGUUAAUAGUCGUGCUUUUUGGCCAGGCGCGAUGGUUAGUGAAUC
Molecule: non-coding RNA, 75 nt
Filed under: unclassified sequences
Description: L13-Bacteroidia ribosomal protein leader
Rfam family: L13-Bacteroidia ribosomal protein leader
Source: RNAcentral